AGAGUUUGAUCCUGGCUCAGGAUGAACGCUGGCGGCGUGCCUAAUACAUGCAAGUCGAGCGAAUGGAUUAAGAGCUUGCUCUUAUGAAGUUAGCGGCGGACGGGUGAGUAACACGUGGGUAACCUGCCCAUAAGACUGGGAUAACUCCGGGAAACCGGGGCUAAUACCGGAUAACAUUUUGAACUGCAUGGUUCGAAAUUGAAAGGCGGCUUCGGCUGUCACUUAUGGAUGGACCCGCGUCGCAUUAGCUAGUUGGUGAGGUAACGGCUC
RNAcentral lists this ribosomal RNA (270 nucleotides) under uncultured Bacillus sp. RNAcentral's name for it is "partial 16S ribosomal RNA". It matches the Rfam family "Bacterial small subunit ribosomal RNA", at positions 8 to 266 of the family's 1533-position model. Lineage: Bacteria; Bacillati; Bacillota; Bacilli; Caryophanales; Bacillaceae. The record is from RNAcentral.